Sorex araneus (European shrew) is the source of this 1507-nucleotide long non-coding RNA. RefSeq lists it as uncharacterized. The record is from RefSeq and is a predicted model, not a curated record. The transcript has 3 exons. NCBI's taxonomy places the organism in Eukaryota, Metazoa, Chordata, Mammalia, Eulipotyphla, Soricidae.
CAGAAAUAACCCCUGUGCAUCGCCAAGUGUGACCAAAACAGAAAAACAAACAAACAAAAAAACCCAGAACAUUCAUAGAACACAGAGUUGAGGUGGGGGAUGCAUCAGGGUGGGUUUACUCCUCCGGCCUCUGCACUCAGGCAGCACUCCUGGCAGUGCUCAGGAACCUCUUGGGAUGCCAGUAAUGAAACCCGAGUAGGACGCUUGCAAGACAAGCACCUCGCCCACUUUACUAUAUCUCCAGCCCCUUUCUUCAGGAAAUUUUGAAUUUCUUAUUGUUUUUUAAUUACAGUUUUGGGGCCACAGCACACAGUGCUCAGGGCUUACACUUGGAUCUGAGCUCAGGCAUUUUCCUGGAAGUGCUGGGGGGGGAAACUAUAAGCUUUUGAAAAUUGAACCCAAAUUAGCUGCUUGAAGAGAAUCACCCUAUGAACUGUACUAUCUCUGCUAACCAUCUAUGAUAUUAUUUUGCCAGAAAAAAAAAAUUCUGCUUUACCUGCCAAGUUUUUGAGCACCAUCUCAUCCCCAGUGUUCAUCUUUCCCAGGCCAGGGGUGCUCCCUGCUGUUCUGGUGAAUAUUUGCAGAAAUGGCGUUUCUACCGGCACAUAUGUCCACACAAAGCUUUGACUUUCUGACUGGACAUUGUAUAUCACCUCGUUCCUAGAACAAAAAUAUGAGAUGUAUCAUUGGAGAGGGCGUGUCUAGCAUUUUGGUCCAACCUAGUGUUGCUUCUUUUUAUUUUUUACUUUUGGGUCACAAACAGCGAUGAUCAGGUGGGUUACUCCAGGCUCUACACCCAGGAAUCACUCUUGGCGGCGCUCGGGGGACGAUAUGGGAUGAUGGGGAUCGAACCCAGGUCAGCCCCAUGCAAGGCAAAUGCCCAAACAGCUGUAUUAUUGCUCCACUCACCCCGAGUGUUGCUUAUUUUCAGUCCAGCUGAGCAUGUGCUCAGGUCUUACUUUCUGCAGUGCGGGUCUGGGCCACUGGUGCGGGUCUUGGACAUAGGGUGUCUGUGUAAGGCCAUCACCUCCAGGAACCUUCUAGAGUAGCACCUUCACAUUGCUGCAGACCUGGCUGCCUUAGAGUGAUUUCUUGGCACACUGAGCCAGGAAUGUGCAUGGAGGCUGGUUCUUCCCGAAGGAACAGGGGAGAUGUCCUGAGCCCCUCUAGUGCCGUCCUCUGGCUGAGAAAACAGAGUGGGGACUGGCACUGUCUCCCGUCCCCUGUGUCUCACUGCUCAGGACAUAAUGACCUUCUCUGAUGUGUCCAUAAAUUUUACCCAGGAAGAGUGGACAUCCUUGGAUGCCUCUCAGCGAAAGCUCUACAGGGACGUGAUGCUGGAGACCUACCAGCACCUGCAGGCCAUUGGGCAUUCCGGAGGGAAGCCUGCGGUGAUCUCCUGGCUGGAAGGAGGAGCCCUGAGGCCGUGGAGGAGAGGUGUGUGUGCAGAAUAGUCCACGGGAUUCAGAUUCCUUUUGAUCCCUCAUCUGUGCCUCACCAGCCUGGC